UCCUACGGGAGGUAGCAGUGGGGAAUAUUGCGCAAUGGACGGAAGUCUGACGCAGCGACGCCGCGUGAGCGAAGAAGGCCUUCGGGUCGUAAAGCUCUGUUCUUGGGGACGAAUAAGAUGACGGUACCCAAGGAGAAAGCCCCGGCUAACUACGUGCCAGCAGCCGCGGUAACACGUAGGGGGCGAGCGUUGUCCGGAAUUACUGGGCGUAAAGGGCGUGUAGGCGGCCGAGCAAGUCAAGUGUGAAAAGCCCCGGCUUAACCGAGGCAUUGCACAUGAAACUGUUUGGCUUGAGUGCAGGAGAGGGAGGUGGAAUUCCUAGUGUAGCGGUGAAAUGCGUAGAUAUUAGGAGGAACACCAGUGGCGAAGGCGACUUCCUGGACUGUAACUGACGCUGAGGCGCGAAAGCGUGGGUAGCAAACAGGAUUAGAUACCCCGGUAGUCCACGCCGUAAACGAUGGGUACUAGGUGUGGGUAGUUCACUCUAUCCGUGCCGCAGCAAACGCAAUAAGUACCCCGCCUGGGGAGUACGGCCGCAAGGUUGAAACUCAAAGGAAUUGACGGGGGCCCGCACAAGCAGCGGAGCAUGUGGUUUAAUUCGAUGCACCGCGACGAACCUUACCAUGGCUUGACAUCUACAGUAGGCCGUAGAGAUACGGCUGUGCCCGUUUGGGGAACUGUGAGACAGGUGGUGCAUGGUUGUCGUCAGCUCGUGUCGUGAGUUGUUGGGUUAAGUCCCGCAAUGUGCGCAACCCCUAUCGUUAGUUGCUAACGGGUAAAGGUGAGCACUCUAGGGAGACUGCCGGGGACAACUCGGAGGAAGGUGGUGAUGAUGUCAAAUCAUCAUGCCCCUUAUGUCCUGGGCUACACACGUGUUACAAUGGCCGGAACAGAGGGCAGCGAAGGAGUUAUCCGGAGCCAAUUCCAAAAUCCCGGUCCCAGUUGGGAUUGUGGGGUGCAACCCGCCCACAUGAAGUAGGAGUUGAUAGUAAUCGCGGAUCAGCCAUGCUGCGGUGAAUGCGUUCCCGGGCCUUGUACACCCCGCCAGUCACACCCUGGGAGUUGGGGGCGCCUUGAAGUCAGAUAGUAACGGCUGCCGAAGGUGAAACCAAUGACUGGGGUGAAGUCGUAACAAGGUAGCCA
RNAcentral lists this ribosomal RNA (1143 nucleotides) under uncultured bacterium. RNAcentral describes it as "bacterial SSU rRNA". It matches the Rfam family "Bacterial small subunit ribosomal RNA", at positions 337 to 1502 of the family's 1533-position model. The record is from RNAcentral.